GACGAACGCUGGCGGCGUGCUUAACACAUGCAAGUCGAACGGAAAGGCCCUGCUUUUGUGGGGUUCUCGAUUGGCGAACGGGUGAGUAACACGUGAGUAACCUGCCCUUGUCUUUGGGAUAACUUCAGGAAACUGGGGCUAAUACCGGAUAGGAUCUCCUGCUCCAUGGUGGGCGUUGGAAAGUUUCGGCGGUUGGGGAUGGACUCGCGGCUUAUCAGCUUGUUGGUGGGGUAGUGGCUUACCAAGGCUUUGACGGGUAGCCGGCCUGAGAGGGUGACCGGCCACAUGGGGACUGAGGUACGGCCCAGAGUGCUACGGGAGGCAGCAGUGGGGAAUAUUGCACAAUGGGCGGGAGCCUGAUGCAGAAACGCCGCGUGCGGGAUGACGGCCUUCGGGUUGUAAACCGCUUUCGCCUGUGACGAAGCGUGAGUGACGGUAAUGGGUAAAGAAGCACCGGCUAACUACGUG
Molecule: ribosomal RNA, 468 nt
Filed under: uncultured bacterium
Lineage: Bacteria
Description: partial 16S ribosomal RNA
Rfam family: Bacterial small subunit ribosomal RNA
Source: RNAcentral